GACGAACGCUGGCGGCGUGCCUAACACAUGCGAGUCGAACGGAAAGGCCCUGCUUUUGUGGGGUGCUCGAGUGGCGAACGGGUGAGUAACACGUGAGUAACCUGCCCUUGACUUUGGGAUAACUUCAGGAAACUGGGGCUAAUACCGGAUAGGAGCUCCUGCUGCAUGGUGGGGGUUGGAAAGUUUCGGCGGUUGGGGAUGGACUCGCGGCUUAUCAGCUUGUUGGUGGGGUAGUGGCUUACCAAGGCUUUGACGGGUAGCCGGCCUGAGAGGGUGACCGGCCACAUUGGGACUGAGAUACGGCCCAGACUCCUACGGGAGGCAGCAGUGGGGAAUAUUGCACAAUGGGCGGAAGCCUGAUGCAGCAACGCCGCGUGCGGGAUGACGGCCUUCGGGUUGUAAACCGCUUUCGCCUGUGACGAAGCGUGAGUGACGGUAAUGGGUAAAGAAGCACCGGCUAACUACGUG
This 468-nucleotide ribosomal RNA is filed under the name uncultured bacterium. Its description in RNAcentral is "partial 16S ribosomal RNA". It matches the Rfam family "Bacterial small subunit ribosomal RNA", at positions 28 to 507 of the family's 1533-position model. The record is from RNAcentral.